Molecule: ribosomal RNA, 250 nt
Filed under: uncultured bacterium
Lineage: Bacteria
Description: partial 16S ribosomal RNA
Rfam family: Bacterial small subunit ribosomal RNA
Source: RNAcentral
UACAGAGGGUGCGAGCGUUGUCCGGAAUCACUGGGCGUAAAGGGCGCGUAGGCGGCUUGAUAAGUAGGGGGUGAAAUCUCAUGGCUCAACUGUGAGGCUGCCUUCUAGACUGUCUGGCUUGAGCACAGUAGAGGCGAGUGGAAUUCCCGGUGUAGCGGUGGAAUGCGUAGAGAUCGGGAAGAACAUCGGUGGCGAAGGCGGCUCGCUGGGCUGUUGCUGACGCUGAUGCGCGAAAGCGUGGGGAGCAAAC